UACUGAGGCGUCGCGCCGCGGUUGGACGUCCGCCAGAAGUUGUUCUAGGACUUGUACCGCCACCGCCCGCGCGACCGGUUCCUGGUCUACCACGCAGCGUACAAGCACAACUCCCUGUACCUCAAGCUGCCGGCUCCCCAAGCGGCGCGAUCUCCAACACAAGAUCUUGCACCCGUGCAGGUUCCACCGUAGCGGCCACCACCGGCGUGUCCGGCCGAACCGCGACCACUCGCCGAUCAGCUUCUUGGACCACGUGGAGAAGGACCUCCGGCUGCCGCACGGGUGGGGGAACGCGUAGUACCAGCUGCGGUAGAGCCGUGGGAUCCUCUUGCGAGGCUUGCUGUUGCGUCGGGUCAGCGGGGUGGGUGUUGUGCGCUGGGUGAGGGGGCUGUUGGUAUAGGUGAGGAGGGUGAGAGUCAGUGUAGAGCUUAGGAGCUCUCAAAGCUGGCCGCGGGGAGCGGCGGCCCGUACCUCCGGUGGGGGGCGUUCGAGCAAAAGAAUAGGCCACUGCGUGCCCGCCACCUCCACAGCGGUGCGCGCGGCGCCGGAGCGAGCCUCCACCUCCUCGCUCAUCUCUCCCGCGCGAGCCACCCGCCGUACCGCUCCGUCUUCCACCUCUCCCUCACCCGCCGGUACGGAGCCGCCUCGUCUCCGCCGCUCUCAACGCCUCGGCUCCUUCCCUCCAACGCCUUCCGGGCGCUCCUUCUGCCUCCGCUGGAGCGCCUCCCCUUCCCCUCGUCGCCCGCCUGCUUGCGCCUCCGCCUCGAGUUGUACGGCGGACCGAAGGCGAAGGUGGAGUGCUUGCUGCUCGAGCAGCACGUGAUGGAGACGUCCCUCCACCGCCGGGUCGGCGUCGGCACGGGGAGUAGCGGCUCGAGCGAGACAUGUUCAAGUUGGGGACCCAGACGGACCACGCAGAAGAAGGAGAAGGGACGACGAGCGAUGGUACAAAAGGAGGAGGACGAAGCAGUGAGUAACCAAAGCAGACUAAGUUGUUACAUACUACCGGCAACCCGUUACUACAACCCGACCAUGGUAACAGGACCGGGCGACCUCCCUCCCUGCCGACCUCCCUCCCUCGUCCAGCAAGUCCUCCUUCCCUCUAGCCUGGCUUGCCUUAGCAAGCCCUCGAGGGCAGAGGACUGGCUUGUUAUGCAAGCUAGACCGAGGAGGAGAGUGGCUUGCAGGCGCGCUAUAGCCCUUUAGAACAUAGCGCGUGAUUACAGCCUUCACACGUGGCCGCCGCCCAACGUGGUCGCGCCCUCACAGGGCCGGUGCUCGUCCAAGACGUCGUCCCCGGGGCGGAGGUACUGCUCGAUGUCGUCGGCUGGGGAGCCACCGUCGCCGAAGAAGCGCCACUCGUCUCGUGCCGCAGCAGGGGCGUGAGUCAAAUAACUCCCACUACUAUCCGCGGCCGCGAAACCCGGCCAGUGGGCGCUCGGCAUGCUAAGACGGGGAUAGUCGGAAGGUUAGGAAUAGGAAGGGGACGGGUAGGGAAAGGAGGAGUGGCGUGCUCUAGACUCUUUUUCUUUUUGUGCUCGUGUACCGUCGGCGUGGAGCGAUGGUGCGGCGUGACGGGCACAGGCGGGAGGGGAGCAAACGGGAGCAACAGCUGUCAACGACAGCACGAGCGGCAGCUGCGAGCGUUGUUUUCUUUUACGAUGGACACAGUGUAGAUCAACCUAGGAACCUUUUUUACGACCAAGGUCGUUUUGUUCUAAUGUUACCAUC
This 1731-nucleotide ribosomal RNA is filed under the name Triticum aestivum (bread wheat). Its description in RNAcentral is "partial small subunit ribosomal RNA". Lineage: Eukaryota; Viridiplantae; Streptophyta; Magnoliopsida; Poales; Poaceae. The record is from RNAcentral.